This 482-nucleotide ribosomal RNA is filed under the name uncultured bacterium. RNAcentral describes it as "partial 16S ribosomal RNA". It matches the Rfam family "Bacterial small subunit ribosomal RNA", at positions 30 to 507 of the family's 1533-position model. The record is from RNAcentral.
AUUGAACGCUGGCGGCAUGCCUUACACAUGCAAGUCGAACGGUAACGGGCCUUCGGGUGCCGACGAGUGGCGAACGGGUGAGUAAUACAUCGGAACGUGCCCGAUCGUGGGGGAUAACGAGGCGAAAGCUUUGCUAAUACCGCAUACGAUCUACGGAUGAAAGCAGGGUACCUCAAGGCCUUGCGCGGACGGAGCGGCCGAUGGCAGAUUAGGUAGUUGGUGGGAUAAAAGCUUACCAAGCCGACGAUCUGUAGCUGGUCUGAGAGGAUGAUCAGCCACACUGGGACUGAGACACGGCCCAGACUCCUAAGGGAGGCAGCAGUGGGGAAUUUUGGACAAUGGGCGCAAGCCUGAUCCAGCCAUGCCGCGUGCAGGAUGAAGGCCUUCGGGUUGUAAACUGCUUUUGUACGGAACGAAAAGCCUUCUUUUAAUACAGGAGGGUCAUGACGGUACCGUAAGAAUAAGCACCGGCUAACUACGUG